UACGUAGGGUGCAAGCGUUGUCCGGAAUUAUUGGGCGUAAAGAGCUCGUAGGCGGUCUGUCGCGUCGGCUGUGAAAACUCGGGGCUCAACUCCGAGCUUGCAGUCGAUACGGGCAGGCUAGAGUGCGGCAGGGGAGACUGGAAUUCCUGGUGUAGCGGUGAAAUGCGCAGAUAUCAGGAGGAACACCGGUGGCGAAGGCGGGUCUCUGGGCAACAACUGACGCUGAGGAGCGAAAGCGUGGGGAGCGAACAGG
This 253-nucleotide ribosomal RNA is filed under the name uncultured bacterium. RNAcentral's name for it is "partial 16S ribosomal RNA". It matches the Rfam family "Bacterial small subunit ribosomal RNA", at positions 524 to 776 of the family's 1533-position model. The record is from RNAcentral.